This 306-nucleotide non-coding RNA is filed under the name Williamsia sp. Leaf354. Its description in RNAcentral is "Mycobacterium smegmatis small RNA 1". It matches the Rfam family "Mycobacterium smegmatis small RNA 1". Rfam says of the family: Mycobacterium smegmatis small RNA 1 is highly expressed during stationary phase of growth. Ms1 RNA directly interacts with RNA polymerase (RNAP), but in a different way than 6S, which is present in other bacteria. The record is from Rfam by way of RNAcentral. Lineage: Bacteria; Bacillati; Actinomycetota; Actinomycetes; Mycobacteriales; Nocardiaceae.
ACGGGAUCGACGAGCGGCAACGUCCACUUCGGAAGAGAAGGAGCGGACCCCCGAACGUCGUGACCCAGCACGGAUAUCGAGCACCCACGCGGAGCACGCCGCGACAGGCAGAAGUGUUGCGGGCCUGCGACAUCGCGAUCAGUGAGAACCACGACGACCCUUGGGUGGGCGUCGCGUAUCCUCGCAUCGCGGUCCAUCGCCGAGGCCACCCACGCAACCCACCGCGCACGCUUGGUAACCCGGAUCCGUGCUGACGGGCGGCCAGGAUGAUCCACCUCGGAUCACCCCGGCCGCCCGUAAUACUUU